AUAUCAAUAAGCGGAGGAAAAGAAACCAACAGGGAUUGCCUCAGUAACGGCGAGUGAAGCGGCAAGAGCUCAAAUUUGAAAUCUGGCUCCUUCGGGGUCCGAGUUGUAAUUUGUAGAGGAUGCUUCGGGUGCGGCCCCCGUCUAAGUGCUCUGGAACGGGCCAUCGGAGAGGGUGAAAAUCCCGUCUGGGAUGGGGUGUCCGCGUCCAUGUGAAGCUCCUUCGACGAGUCGAGUUGUUUGGGAAUGCAGCUCUAAAUGGGUGGUAAAUUUCAUCUAAAGCUAAAUACUGGCCGGAGACCGAUAGCGCACAAGUAGAGUGAUCGAAAGAUGAAAAGCACUUUGAAAAGAGAGUUAAACAGCACGUGAAAUUGUUGAAAGGGAAGCGCUUGCGACCAGACUCGCUUCCGGGGUUCAGCCGGCUUUCGGGCCGGUGUACUUCCCCGGGGGCGGGCCAGCGUCGGUUUGGGCGGCCGGUCAAAGGCCCCUGGAAUGUAACGCCUCUCGGGGCGCCUUAUAGUCAGGGGUGUCAUGCGGCCAGCCUGGACCGAGGAACGCGCUUC
RNAcentral lists this ribosomal RNA (560 nucleotides) under Aspergillus ruber. RNAcentral describes it as "eukaryotic LSU rRNA". It matches the Rfam family "Eukaryotic large subunit ribosomal RNA", at positions 40 to 603 of the family's 3401-position model. The record is from RNAcentral. Lineage: Eukaryota; Fungi; Ascomycota; Eurotiomycetes; Eurotiales; Aspergillaceae.